Long non-coding RNA from Oncorhynchus keta (chum salmon), 338 nucleotides. RefSeq lists it as uncharacterized. NCBI's taxonomy places the organism in Eukaryota, Metazoa, Chordata, Actinopteri, Salmoniformes, Salmonidae. The record is from RefSeq and is a predicted model, not a curated record. The transcript is spliced from 3 exons.
UUGGACUAGGUGGUACACACACAUUUAGGACAGUCUCAAAAGGGUUUGGACUAGGUGGUACACACACAUUUAGGACAGUCUCAAAAGGGUUUGGACUAGGUGGUACACACACAUUUAGGACUGUCUCAAGAGGGUUUGACUAGGUGGUACAUACACAUUUAGGACUGUCUCAAGAGGGUUUGACUAGGUGGUACAUACACAUUUAGGACUGUCUCAAGAGGGUUUGACUAGGUGGUACACAGCUACAACUAGAAGUUACUUGGUUUGUAGCAGGUUAGGAGAACUUACGCAGGAGGUUAGGAUAAUUCACUUAACAAGUUAGGAUAAUUGGGGUAAGG